CUACGUGCCAGCAGCCGCGGUAAUACGUAGGUGGCAAGCGUUGUCCGGAAUUAUUGGGCGUAAAGCGCGCGCAGGCGGAUUGGUCAGUCUAUCUUAAAAGUUCGGGGCUUAACCCCGUGAUGGGAUGGAAACUGCCAAUCUAGAGUAUCGGAGAGGAAAGUGGAAUUCCUAGUGUAGCGGUGAAAUGCGUAGAUAUUAGGAAGAACACCAGUGGCGAAGGCGACUUUCUGGACGAAAACUGACGCUGAGGCGCGAAAGCCAGGGGAGCGAACAGGAUUAGAUACCCUGGUAGUCCUGGCCGUAAACGAUGGGUACUAGGUGUAGGAGGUAUCGACCCCUUCUGUGCCGGAGUUAACGCAAUAAGUACCCCGCCUGGGGAGUACGACCGCAAGGUUGAAACUCAAAGGAAUUGACGGGGGCCCGCACAAGCGGUGGAGUAUGUGGUUUAAUUCGACGCAACGCGAAGAACCUUACCAGGUCUUGACAU
Molecule: ribosomal RNA, 487 nt
Filed under: uncultured bacterium
Lineage: Bacteria
Description: bacterial SSU rRNA
Rfam family: Bacterial small subunit ribosomal RNA
Source: RNAcentral